UUAAGAACGUUGUAAAACAGUUCGGUUAAUAUCUACCACUAAUAACUGAAAAUAAAAACCUUAUAUCUAGUACGAAAGGAUCGAUAUGACAUUAUCUCUGAUGACUUUUUAAUUAAUAAUAUUAAUUUAGGUUUUAUUUAUUAUCUAAAAAUAGUUAAAUAAUGAAAUUUAAAAGAAAUACUUAUAGCAUAUCAAGUAUGAAAUAGUUUUUUUAAUUCAGUAUAAAAACUUACUAGAUGAGUAAGUUAUAUUUUAAAUAUAUAAUAUAUAUAUAAAUAAAAAUUUUUUUAUAUUUUAUUAUCCCUUAUUUUUAUUAUUUUAUUUAAUAAAAUAAUAAAAAUAUGAAAUGAAUAAUAAAAUAAAUUGAAGAUAUCAUUGAGGAUAUUAAAAUUAAAUAUUGAAAUAAAGGUAUAAAAAUAAUUUAAAUUAUAAAACCUAAAUAGAAAACUAUAUUAGAUUUAAAACAUAAUGAAAUGAAACAUCAAAGUAAUUAUAGGAAAAUAAAUUAAAAAAGAAUUUAAUAAGUAGUGGUGAGCGAAAAUUAAAAAGUUUAUAAAUAAUAUGUAUAAAAAUAUAUUAAUAAAGUGAAAACUAUCACUAAAACUAAAAACAAUAUUUAAAUAAUGAGUACUGUGAAGGAAAAAUUGAAUCAGUGAAUAUUAAUAGCACUAUGAAAUAGAAAUAUAAAAUAGGUACCUUUUGUAUAAUGGGUGAACAAGUUUAAAAAGAUAGCAAGAAAAAAAAUCGAAAUGAAAAUGAAAUAAGUUAAUUUUUUUAAGACCCGAAAGCUCGUGAUCUUACCUUUAUUAAGUAUAAAAUGACUGAACUGGUUAAUGUUGCAAUAUUAUCAGAUAAAUGAAGGUAUGCGGAGAAAGUUAAAUCGAACGAGUCAAGCUGGUUUGCAAUGAAACAUAUUAUCGUAUGAUAAAAAAUGAAAAUAUUAAAAAGUAUAGCACUUCAUUUAAUUAAAUAAAGAGAAUGUAAUCUAAGAAUUUUUAAUUAAAGAAAUAUUUUUUGUUCAGACUAUUGGCGAUAAGGUUAAUAGUCGAGAGGAAAACAAUCCAGAAUAAAAUUAAAGUUACAAAUAUAAAAAUAAAAAGAAAUAAGAAAAUUAAUUAAUUAAACAAUUAGUUAAUAGGUUUGAUAGUAACUAUUUUUUAAUAAAAGUGUAAUAACUUACUAAUUAAAUAAAAAAUUAAAUAUUUUUCGAUAAUAUAUCGUACUUAAAUUUUUAAACUGAUAUUUUAUAAUAAAAAAUUGGUAAUUGCAUAAUCAAUAAAAAAGAUUUAUUAAAAGAAAUAAAUUAAUAAAUGAAAAAUGAAUUGAUAAAAGAAUGUUUACAUGAGUAACGAAAAUAAAGAAUUAAACUUUAUCAUCAACACAUAAGGUAUAAAAAAAUACAAUAUUUAAAUAAAAAACGAAAGUAAUUUUAUGAAAAGAAGAAUAUAUUUAUUAAAAAAUAAUUAAAUUAAAGAAAUAAAAUUAAAAAAUUUAAUUACAAGAAAAAAAAUAAAUAAAAAAUUGUAAUGAAUACCGACACAGGUGUGUAAAUUUUAAUAAAAUGAAGAUGAAUGAGAAAAUUAUAUAUAAUGAACUCGGCAAAAACACUCAUUAAAUUGAAUAUGAGUAAAAAGUAAAAUAGCACGACUGUCUACUAACAACACAGCACAUUGCAAAAAUGAAAAUUAUAGUAUAAUGUGUGAAACUGCUCAAUGUUAAAUAAUAAAUAAUAUAUUAUAUAAGAUAUAUUUAUUAAAAUUUAAUAAAUAGCAGUCUUAUUUUGAGGACUACAAAGUAGCGAAAUUCCUUGUCAAAUAAUUGUUGACCUGCAUGAAUGAUUUAACGAUGUUAUAACUGUAUCAUAUAUAAACUCAGUGAAAUUGUAAUUGUAGUGAAGAUACUAUAUAUUAGUGGUAAGACAUGAAGACCCUAGCACCUUUACUAUAUAUUAAAAAUUGUUAAAUUCUAAUUUUAUUAGAAUUAUUGUAAUUUAAAAAUAAUAUUAUUUUUAAUUUUUAUUUUAAAAUUACUUUUUAGCUUACUUAUUUAAAAUAAGGACAGUUAUAAUAUGAUAGUUUUACUGGGAAGGUAAUAUUAUAAAAAAUAACUAAUAUGUCUAUAUUAGAAAAAUAUAAAAAAAAUAAUUUAUUAAAAAAAAAAAAUAUAUUAAAUUUAAUUUAAUUAAAUAUAAAAAAAAUAAGAUAUCAUUAACUUAGUUUUAAUAUAAUAUAUUAAGAAAAAUCACUAAGAUAUAUAAAAAAAGUAUAUAAAUAAUUAUAAUAAUAUAAUGAUAUUUAAAUAAAAAGACUGACAAGUCUAAAUAGUAUUUACGUAUAGUAUAAUGAACAAUUGUAGAUUAAGUGAGUCGCAAUGAUAACGGAUAAGGUACGCUAGGGAUAACAGCCUAAUAUUGUGUGAGAGUUCAUAUCGUAAACAAUGAUUGGGACCUCGAUGUCGGCUCAACCUAUCCUACAGGAUGUAAAAAUUUGAAAGGGUUUGACUGUUCGUCAAUUAAAAGGUUACGUGAGCUGGGU
Molecule: ribosomal RNA, 2534 nt
Filed under: Starmerella bacillaris
Lineage: Eukaryota; Fungi; Ascomycota; Dipodascomycetes; Dipodascales; Trichomonascaceae
Description: large subunit ribosomal RNA
Rfam family: Bacterial large subunit ribosomal RNA (bases 434-2534)
Source: RNAcentral